UGUGUUUUUUUGCUUGGACAGAAUUUACAUAAUAUAUUUUCUUAAAUGGCUCUUCAUUUGUUUAUCAUUCAAUUAACUUCUCUAGCCAUCUUAAAUAGCAUGUCGAAAGGACUUGCUCAUCAACCUUUUGAAGUAGUAUGGCUACCAACAUCAAAAGUCUCUAUUUUACCUUUGCAAUUAUAUGCAUUGCCAUGAUUGUAGUUUCAAGUUCAGAAGGAGGAACUAACAAGAAUGAUGAAGUAUUUUGCACUAACUGGUGGGGCUGUCCUGAUGACAAACACAAGUGUUUCUUCUUAUGUUCAAACUUUGGAUAUGAAUUACAUGGAAAAUGUCAUGAAAAUACUUGUUGUUGCGAUGGUGAAGCUAGCUGAAUGAUAGAUAAUAUUUUUACAAUAUGUUCUUAAUAGUGUCUCUAUGAAUACACUCUUUAGGACUACGUUAAAGCCAAGUUAUAACUUGUCUCGUCCCAUAUUAUAAGUUGCAACUAUCAUAUAUAUGCCUUCACACUUUCAAUGCGACAAUAGUAAUUAUUUUUCUAUUAUAAAUUCAAUAGUAAUAUAGGAAACUAUUUUUCUAUUAUAAAUUCAAUAGUAAUAUAGCAAAUAAUUUUAUGUCUUGGAUGAGUUCAGUGGCGGAUCCAGAAACUUUUGUUGGUGGGGGCAAAAAAUAGUGCAAGUAUUUUGACUAAAAAAGAUAUUACAAAUUUUAAAAUAAUUAUAUAAAACUACAACAUUUGUUGUCUCUAGCAACACUUUUUUAAGUAACAUUUAAAAAUUGUUGCCUAAAAUUCAUGUAGGCAACGAUUUAUGAUUGUUGCCAAAAAUAUAUUUGCAACCAUUGAUAAUUGUUGCCUAAAAUACGUUUGGGGACGUUUUUGGAGCGUUAUUAUAGUAUUUCUUUAUUAAUGUUUGAUAAUUGUCCCCUUAAAUACUUUGGGGACGAUUUUGGAAUGUCAUUAGACAAUUUCUUUAGCAAUGUUUAAUAAUUGUCCCCUUAAAUAUUUUUGGGGUCAUUUUUAGAGUGUUAUCUUAUUUUUAAUUAAAGGCUACAUCUCUUCAAGUUACAAAAAAAAAAUUUCAACAUCAAAUUUUUGGUGGCAAUCUUCCCUCCAAACUUAUAAACUAAAAAAACAAAAAAUUUCCUUGAAACAUUAUUAGAAAAAAUUUAAAUAUAAAAAUGCAUCUAACAGAUAAUAUACUAAUAUAAAAAAUCAUCUUAAACAUUAUAGAAAUAAUUUUUUAUUCAUUAAACUUUUCAGUAUCAUCACCAAAACCAUACGUGUACCCUUUUCAUAUUGUACGUCAAAAAAAACCUAUAUCGAAGAAUAUGCUCCUCAAAAACCUUUCACCUUCAUGAAACUCGUUCCGCAAGUCUUCAAGUCGCACCUCAAAUCUAAUGCUUUCCAUAAUUCUUCAAAUUGAACCAGAAUCCCAAAUCAAACCAAAAUCCCAAUUGCAUCGUAAUUCUUCAAAUCGCUCAUUAAAUCCGUCUUAAAUCGAAACCACAAUCCCAAUCGUUCCUCAAACCCUAAAUCACUACCUUAAAUCCCAAUCUCACAGAGUGCUCAAUCCCUAGAAGAGUUUCUUGUUGCCCAUCUUCCUCAAUCCCAAUCUCAUUCUGUUUUGGUUCAAGUGUCUAUGCUGAUAUGGUGAAUAGAAGCAGAGAGUGAAGCCCCAGUUACAACUGUGAACUUUCAAGAAAAAGUAGUCGAUUCGAAAGGUUAGAUUUUUUAUCAUUUUCUGAAUGUUUCUUAUAUUCUGGUUAAUUUCAUGCGUUUGGGUUCCGGUUUGUCGUCGACAACCAAAGUAAAACCCUUGUAAGCUCUUUGUCUCUCCCAAUGACCAUGCCGAGUUAGCAAGUAUUACCGUUGAGGUCGAGAGUUUCAGAAUUUGUUAUUGUUCAUCAAUAAAACCAAAUUUGUUAUUAUUCAUCAAUAAAACCAAAUUUGUUAUUGUUCAUCAAUAAAACCAAAUUUCUUUUUUGUUUGAAGCAUCGUCAUUUAUCGUGACCCUGUUUUGUAGUUUUCGCCGUUGAAAACAGCCGACACCAAUGGAGUUCCUAGGUUGUCUAAAAAACUAAUGUAGAAUGGAGAACUUGGAUCAACAACAAGGAUUUGUUUGUCUUUGUCAUAAGUAUUACGUUUCUUUUUCUUCAGAAUUUCUUCCUCUAGGUUGAAACUAUCCCGCUCAGAUAUUAUUAUUAUUAUUAUUAUUAUUAUUAUUGGGUAAUUGUCAUCAUUAAGACCUUAAACAUCAUAUUUUACAUAACCUAAACUGUCAGAACUAAAGAAGGAGUUUCAUUACCAUAAAUAAUCUACAGUACCAAUAAACUUUGCGUGAUAGGAAGUUGCCAAGGGCUCCCCAUUGAAUCCCCUGGUACUAGCUGAACCCUGAAAAAGGUUUCACUACAAGAAAUAUGAUAUUUACACUACAACACGGAAGGGCUUUCACAGCGCUUUUUUUGGCCUUUAACAGCGCUUUAAAGCGCUGCCAAAGCCAGCGCUGGCGUAGGCUACGAAAGCGCUUUUAAAAGCGCUCUGGUAGACCCCCCCUUUAAGAGCGCUUUCCUGGAAAAAGCGCUCUGGUAGGACCCCCUAUAAGAGCGCUUUCCUGGAAAAAGCGCUCUGGUAGACCCCCCUUUAAGAGCGCUUCUUAGUAAAAGCGCUGGCAAA
This is a long non-coding RNA of Vicia villosa (hairy vetch), 2671 nucleotides long. RefSeq lists it as uncharacterized. Lineage: Eukaryota; Viridiplantae; Streptophyta; Magnoliopsida; Fabales; Fabaceae. The transcript has 3 exons. The record is from RefSeq and is a predicted model, not a curated record.